RNAcentral lists this ribosomal RNA (381 nucleotides) under Ischnura elegans. RNAcentral's name for it is "partial large subunit ribosomal RNA". The stretch from base 1 to 184 matches the Rfam family "Archaeal large subunit ribosomal RNA", at positions 1908 to 2143 of the family's 2987-position model. Lineage: Eukaryota; Metazoa; Arthropoda; Insecta; Odonata; Coenagrionidae. The record is from RNAcentral.
GUCCUAUUGUAUUAUUUAAUAGGUCUGGCCUGCCCAGUGAUAAUUUCAACGGCCGCGGUAUAUUGACCGUGCAAAGGUAGCAUAAUCAUUAGUCUUUUAAUAGGAGGCUGGAAUGAAAGGUUUAACGAGAAAUUGACUGUCUCAAUUACAAUCUUGAAUUUAUCUUUUGAGUCAAAAGACUUAAAUAUAAUUGGUGGACGAGAAGACCCUAUAGAGCUUGACAAUUAUUUUUUUAUAUUUACUUAGACUGAAAUUAUUUAUUUAUAUUAAAAAGAUUGUUUUGUUGGGGUGACAAUAAAUAUAUAUUUAACUUUUAUCAUAAUAUUAACAUUAAUUUAUGACUUUUGGAUCCAAAAAUUUUGAUCAUUAGAUUAAGUUACC